RNAcentral lists this ribosomal RNA (916 nucleotides) under Peroplatypus sp. PlPer02. Its description in RNAcentral is "partial 28S large subunit ribosomal RNA". The stretch from base 235 to 916 matches the Rfam family "Eukaryotic large subunit ribosomal RNA", at positions 1 to 899 of the family's 3401-position model. Lineage: Eukaryota; Metazoa; Arthropoda; Insecta; Coleoptera; Curculionidae. The record is from RNAcentral.
GUUAGGGGUAACCUGAGAAACCCGAAAGGUCGAAGAAGAAAUUCAUUCGYGUUUCGUUAUUGACAAAAUUGCAUGUAUUAGACAAUAGUUAAGUUGUGAAGCAUCUAUUUUAGUUGUUCUAUCGAUUUAAAUGUUGCUAUAUAUCUAUUUUUGAGUCUGAUAAUGAACACGUGCAUUUUUCUUCUGGUAGGACGUUGCGAUCCGUUAGGAUCUAAAAUUCAUUAUAUCGAUCUAAGAAGUUUUUGUGGUCUAGAUCAUUGAUACAUUUGUAAAAAAAAAUUWUAUUUUUUUUAUAAAUGUUAAUAUUAAUGAAAUCAUACAUUCUGAUCGAUUUGCCUGACGGUAAAAUAAUGGUUAAAAGUCGCUAUUAUAUUGAUAAUUAGCGUUAGAGGCUGGACAAGUAUAGGAAUUGUGUAAUGGCAUUAUUACUAUUCAAUUUAUUGAUGGUAAUUGUGUCCUCGGUAAUCGAUAUUUAUAUCAAUUCCGGGCCGUUCAUAUACUGUUAGUUUGGCAUAUCUCUGACAGACUUUAUUAUUUUCAAAUAAAACCAAUCAGCAACGCUAUAGCUUUGGGUACUUUCAGGACCCGUCUUGAAACACGGACCAAGGAGUCUAGCAUGUUCGCAAGCCAUUGGGAUAUUAAACCUAUAGGCAUAAUGAAAGUGAAAAACAUUUUAUCUUUGGAUAUAAUGGAGGGAAGAUAAAUAAAGAAAAAUUUUAGAUUUCUUCUAUCUAGAAGAGUCUAAAUAUUUCAUAUUUCGCAUUCCCGGGGCGUUUAAAUUUCAUUUACUUGUAGAUGAGAUUAUGCGCACCAAGAGUGUACACGCUGGGACCCGAAAGAUGGUGAACUAUGCCUGGUCAGGACGAAGUCAGGGGAAACCCUGAUGGAGGUCCGUAGCGAUUCUGACGUGCAAAUC